UUACAAUCGCGCAUUCAGGGUGCAUUCACCUUGCUAUGCAUGGAGUGAAUGGUAAACGGGAAACAGAACGCGCAAGAUGGCGCGCCAACCUGUGCUGCCCCCGCAACGGUAAUCAGGCUUUCGGCCUGCAGCCCGACAUCGGCCCUGAACCUGCCGCUGCU
Molecule: non-coding RNA, 161 nt
Filed under: Advenella kashmirensis
Lineage: Bacteria; Pseudomonadati; Pseudomonadota; Betaproteobacteria; Burkholderiales; Alcaligenaceae
Source: RNAcentral